UUGAACGCUGGCGGCAGGCCUAACACAUGCAAGUCGAACGGUAGCACAGAGGAGCUUGCUCCUUGGGUGACGAGUGGCGGACGGGUGAGUAAUGUCUGGGAAACUGCCCGAUGGAGGGGGAUAACUACUGGAAACGGUAGCUAAUACCGCAUAACGUCGCAAGACCAAAGAGGGGGACCUUCGGGCCUCUUGCCAUCGGAUGUGCCCAGAUGGGAUUAGCUAGUAGGUGGGGUAACGGCUCACCUAGGCGACGAUCCCUAGCUGGUCUGAGAGGAUGACCAGCCACACUGGAACUGAGACACGGUCCAGACUCCUACGGGAGGCAGCAGUGGGGAAUAUUGCACAAUGGGCGCAAGCCUGAUGCAGCCAUGCCGCGUGUAUGAAGAAGGCCUUCGGGUUGUAAAGUACUUUCAGCGAGGAGGAAGGCGUUGUGGUUAAUAACCGCAACGAUUGACGUUACUCGCAGAAGAAGCACCGGCUAACUCCGUGCCAGCCGCCGCGGUAAAAGGG
This 510-nucleotide ribosomal RNA is filed under the name uncultured Enterobacterales bacterium. Its description in RNAcentral is "bacterial SSU rRNA". It matches the Rfam family "Bacterial small subunit ribosomal RNA", at positions 30 to 528 of the family's 1533-position model. The record is from RNAcentral. Lineage: Bacteria; Pseudomonadati; Pseudomonadota; Gammaproteobacteria; Enterobacterales.